Molecule: ribosomal RNA, 405 nt
Filed under: uncultured bacterium
Lineage: Bacteria
Description: bacterial SSU rRNA
Rfam family: Bacterial small subunit ribosomal RNA
Source: RNAcentral
UAGGGAAUAUUGCAAAAUGGGCGCAAGCCUGAUGCAGCAACGCCGCGUGAGUGAUGAAGGCCUUCGGGUCGUAAAACUCUUUUAGAGGGGAUGAGGAAGGACAGUACCCUCUGAAUAAGCCUCGGCUAACUACGUGCCAGCAGCCGCGGUAAAACGUAGGAGGCGAGCGUUAUCCGGAUUUACUGGGUGUAAAGCGCGUGCAGGCGGUCAGGAAAGUUGGAUGUAAAAGCUCCCGGCUCAACUGGGAGAGGUCGUUCAAAACUUCUUGACUAGAGGCAGGUAGAGGGAGGCGGAAUUCCGGGUGUAGUGGUGAAAUGCGUAGAUAUCCGGAGGAACACCAGUGGCGAAAGCGGCCUCCUGGUCCUGAACUGACGCUCAGACGCGAAAGCUAGGGUAGCAAACGGG